AAGGUGCUGCAUGGUUGUCGUCAGCUCGUGCCGUGAGGUGUCGGGUUAAGUCCCAUAACGAGCGCAACCCCUAUCAUUAGUUGCCAUCAGGUCAAGCUGGGGACUCUAAUGAAACUGCCUACGCAAGUAGUGAGGAAGGUGGGGAUGACGUCAAAUCAGCACGGCCCUUACGUCCAGGGCUACACACGUGCUACAAUGGCCGGUACAACGGGCAGCGAAGGAGCGAUCCGGAGCGAAUCCUAAAAAGCCGGUCCCAGUUCGGAUUGCAGGCUGAAACUCGCCUACAUGAAGUUGGAGUUGCUAGUAAUCGCGAAUCAGAAUGUCGCGGUGAAUGCGUUCCCGGGUCUU
Molecule: ribosomal RNA, 348 nt
Filed under: uncultured Bacteroidota bacterium
Lineage: Bacteria; Pseudomonadati; Bacteroidota
Description: bacterial SSU rRNA
Rfam family: Bacterial small subunit ribosomal RNA
Source: RNAcentral